RNAcentral lists this signal recognition particle RNA (264 nucleotides) under Cebus imitator (Panamanian white-faced capuchin). Its description in RNAcentral is "Metazoan signal recognition particle RNA (ENSCCAG00000002349.1)". It matches the Rfam family "Metazoan signal recognition particle RNA", at positions 45 to 297 of the family's 299-position model. Rfam says of the family: The signal recognition particle (SRP) is a universally conserved ribonucleoprotein. It is involved in the co-translational targeting of proteins to membranes. Lineage: Eukaryota; Metazoa; Chordata; Mammalia; Primates; Cebidae. The record is from RNAcentral.
ACUAUUGAUCAGCACAGGAGGUUGAGGCUGGAGGAUCGCUUGAGUCUAGGAGUUCUGGGAUGUAGAGGGCUAUGCUAAUCAGGUGUCCAUACUAAGUUUGGCAUCAAUAUGGUGACCUCCUGGGAGCGGGGGACCACCAGGUUACCUAAUGAGGGGUGAACUGGCCCAGGUCAGAAAUGGGGCAGGUCAAAUCCCACUCCGUCCAGGUUGGAGUGCAAUCACUGCAGCCUCUGCCUCCCAGGUUAACGAGAUUCUCCUGCCUCA